This 202-nucleotide unclassified non-coding RNA is filed under the name uncultured Sebacina. RNAcentral describes it as "sequence contains ITS2". The record is from RNAcentral. Lineage: Eukaryota; Fungi; Basidiomycota; Agaricomycetes; Sebacinales; Sebacinaceae.
GUACUCUCACACUUCUAAUUCGUUUUGGAUUAGGAGCGGUGGACUUGGGUGUUGCUGCUUUACUGUGGCUCAUCUCAAAUUCGUUAGUGCACCUCUUGGUUGGACAUAGUACGGCGUGAUAAGUGUCUUCGCCGGCGCCUCAUAACGAGGGUGGCCAAUUGGGAGCUCUGUGCUUCAAACCGUCUUCAGACAAUCUCUGACA